Molecule: long non-coding RNA, 1603 nt
Filed under: Citrus x clementina
Lineage: Eukaryota; Viridiplantae; Streptophyta; Magnoliopsida; Sapindales; Rutaceae
Description: Citrus clementina (C. clementina) long non-coding RNA (CCLE_LNC004682)
Source: RNAcentral
AAAUUAAAAAACAAAAUCCAAAUGCUCUUAGCCUAAUCUCUUCAUCCCCAUCUCUUCGUCCAACAACUUUGACUCCCUCUCUCUCAAUCUACUCAUAGUGGCUAUUACUCUCUCUUGGUGUGCCCAAAUUAGUUGUACUCCAUCUCCGCCGCUGCUAUUGUUUCUAUUCCGUCUCCACUGCUGCUGCUACUCCGUCUCCACCGUUGCUGCUUCGUCUCUGCCAUUGCCGCUACUGCUCUCUCUGCUCCAUCUCUACUAUUGUGAGUUAUUGGUUUUUUUUUUUAUUUGAGUAAAUUUUUAGUAAUUAUUAUUUCUUUUGUUAAUGUGGUUUUAUUCUUGUUUAGAAUUAAUUAUCUUUUUGUGGUGGAAAAUCGUGCAAAUGCAUACUAUCUACCAUUUUGAUGUUGAGUUUCACAGCAAAACAUUUGGGGGUUGUGAGUCAUCGAGAGUAUUGGUUGCCCUUGUCUAAUUCCAUUGUCAUUUUAUUUAAUAUAUUAGGGACCCAAAGCAUAUUAAUGCAAAAAUUAUGGAGAUUAGGAUGAAUUGAUCAUAAUAAUAUCAUACUGCAUUCAUUUAGAUGCGAUUGUUUCAGUGUCCAUUGCCUUGAAUUCAUAUGAUUUCAUUGUUCUUAAUUUUUUGUUGUGCUGUGAAAAAAUGAGUUAAAAAAAAAAUAACAAGAGCGUGGUCUUGAUUUGAAUUGGUCAAUUUAUAGUAUAAUAUAUUUGAUUUUGAUAUGUCCAAUUUUGAAUCUAUGACAUGUUGCUGAAAUUUUCAUGCUAUGUUAAAUUUGAUUAAUUCCUAAUGUUUAAGCUAUGUGUAUGUAGGAGCAUUUUCUUUAAUUUGAUUAAUAAUAUGUAGAUAGGUAGAUAGAUAGAUAGAUAGUAACAUUCAAUUUUAAUUUAUGACAUGUUGCUCAAAUGGCUUUCAUGCAAUGUUGAAUUUGAUUAAUUUCAAAAUGCAAGUGAUAGGUUGCGGUUGAGGACUUUGAUGUGGAAGAUAUAGCUACCAAUGAAGAAGGAGAUAUUAGUAGGUCAUUUACUAAUAUUGAUUUAUCUCUAGAAGUGUUGUAAAGAUAAAUGAUACAAGAGAUCGAAUUGCAACUUUUAUGUAGUAUGAUUACGCAUGUAAUGCAUGAUGUUUAUCAUGUAAUUUUUUAUAAUUAUUUUGUUUAAAUCAUGUGUUGUAAUUUUUAUCUUAAUUAUAGUGUAAAAGUAAUGACAAUAUAAAUUUUUUUAUUAAUGCUAAUACUAAAAUUUUAUCAUCAUGUGAUUUUUUUAUAAUUAUUUUGUUUAAAUCAUUUAUGGUAUGUUUAUGUAUGUAUUAAUUCAACAAUUAUUUUCUAACUAUAAAUAUAACUCAAAUAUUUAGUAAAAACUGUUUUUCAAAAUGAUACUACCGAACACAUAUUCAUUAUUUUAAUCAUUUUCAAUUGUCUACCGAAUGCAUAUUAAUGUUUUUAGUUUUAAAAUACAAAAUACAAGAUACAGAAAAUAAUAUCAGACGCAUACUUAACAAUUACAAAAUACUAUUUUCAUUCUCAUUUUUAAUUUUAGAAAAUAAAAAUUCAAAAACAAUACCAAAUAGGCCCUUAGCCUUCUUAAUU